ACUACGGGAGGCAGCAGUGAGGAAUAUUGGUCAAUGGCCGUAAGGCUGAACCAGCCAAGUCGCGUGAAGGAAGAAGGAUCUAUGGUUUGUAAACUUCUUUUAUAGGGGAAUAAAGGUAUCCACGUGUGGAUAUUUGCAUGUACCCUAUGAAUAAGCAUCGGCUAACUCCGUGCCAGCAGCCGCGGUAAUACGGAGGAUGGGAGCGUUAUCCGGAUUGAGUGGGUUUAAAGGGUGCGUAGGUUUUUUUUUAAGUCAGCGGUGAAAGUUGGUGGCUCAACCAUAAAAGUGCCGUUGAAACUGGAAGACUUGAGUGUGUUUGAGGUAGGCGGAAUGCGUGGUGUAGCGGUGAAAUGCAUAGAGAUCACGCAGAACUCCGAUUGCGAAGGCAGCUUACUAAGCCAUAACUGACACUGAAGCACGAAAGCGUGGGGAUCAAACAGGAUUAGAUACCCCUGUAGUC
RNAcentral lists this ribosomal RNA (460 nucleotides) under uncultured bacterium. RNAcentral's name for it is "partial 16S ribosomal RNA". It matches the Rfam family "Bacterial small subunit ribosomal RNA", at positions 338 to 795 of the family's 1533-position model. The record is from RNAcentral.